RNAcentral lists this unclassified non-coding RNA (184 nucleotides) under fungal sp. RNAcentral describes it as "partial internal transcribed spacer region". The stretch from base 1 to 46 matches the Rfam family "Eukaryotic small subunit ribosomal RNA", at positions 1786 to 1831 of the family's 1831-position model. Lineage: Eukaryota; Fungi. The record is from RNAcentral. RNAcentral also lists the same sequence under 1 other name.
AAGUCGUAACAAGGUUUCCGUAGGUGAACCUGCGGAAGGAUCAUUCUUUAUUUUUGAGACCCUUUGUAAGAGGGGUUUUAAAUGUUGUGAACUGUUUUGUUAUUGUACCUUUUAUAUAUUUUAUUUUGACUCAUUUAUGAGUAGAAAUACAAGAUGACUUUCAGCAAUGGAUCUCUUGGCUCUU